This 624-nucleotide long non-coding RNA is filed under the name Anas platyrhynchos platyrhynchos (common mallard). RNAcentral's name for it is "lncRNA (ENSAPLG00000017798.1)". The record is from RNAcentral. Lineage: Eukaryota; Metazoa; Chordata; Aves; Anseriformes; Anatidae.
GAGAAGACGAGAAGAAAGAAAAACAGUGAGGAAGAAAGAAAAUAGUCAUCAGGAAAAGGGAGGAAGAGAAGGUUGCCUCGGGAGUACCGAGUUACUGAGGUUCAGACUUUCUUCAGAAAUGCUGAGGGGAGUUGAACAGCAGUUCAAAACGCAGAUAAAGAAAUACACGGACCGUGCAAACAAAAGAUGAAACCUGGCUUUCAGCAAGCAAGCAAAGUUACAUGAAUUUCUGCAAAAUAUAUUAAAAAAAAAAAAUCCUUUGUAACUACAUCCUGGAAAUAACUUCUCUAGUAGAAAAGCCUUUCACAAAAUAUAGGGGAUUGUUUUAGGGAGGAAAAAAUGUGUAUGUAUAUGCAUGUGUAUGUAUCUCAGAUAAAAAUACUACUGUACUCGGUCUAUGAGUAGCUGUCCAAAAAAUGAAACAUAGCCCGUGGUAAUUUUUUAGUUGUAUACAUGUACAUUUCUGGUGAAAAAUGGAAGUUCCUAUGCAGAAAGUCAGAACAACAUGUACAAGCAGCCCAAAUUGGUUUUGAUUAACAAGGUUUCCUGCCUGGAAGUCACUUUGUCUUCAUCCCGUUAGCUAGACUCAACAAAACAAAUGAGUCUAAUGUAUUAGGCUUAAAC